UUACGGCCAUAUCACUUUAAAGCACUAGUUCUCGUACGAUCACCGAAGUUAAGCAGCAACGAGUAUGGUCAGUAUCUAGAUGGGUAACCGUUUAGAAAUCCCAGGUGUU
Acanthosepion pharaonis is the source of this 109-nucleotide non-coding RNA. NCBI's taxonomy places the organism in Eukaryota, Metazoa, Mollusca, Cephalopoda, Sepiida, Sepiidae. The record is from the annotation of a GenBank genome assembly.